RNAcentral lists this ribosomal RNA (480 nucleotides) under uncultured Pseudomonadota bacterium. RNAcentral's name for it is "bacterial SSU rRNA". It matches the Rfam family "Bacterial small subunit ribosomal RNA", at positions 425 to 896 of the family's 1533-position model. Lineage: Bacteria; Pseudomonadati; Pseudomonadota. The record is from RNAcentral.
GUAAAGCUCUUUCGCAAGGGAAGAAAGAUUACGCUCUAACAUAGCGUGAUUAUGACGGUACCUUGAUAAGAAGCACCGGCUAACUACGUGCCAGCAGCCGCGGUAAUACGUAGGGUGCGAGCGUUAAUCGGAAUUACUGGGCGUAAAGCGUGCGCAGGCUGUUUUGUAAGUCAGACGUGAAAUCCCCGAGCUCAACUUGGGAACUGCGUUUGAAACUACAAGACUAGAAUAUGUCAGAGGGGGGUAGAAUUCCACGUGUAGCAGUGAAAUGCGUAGAGAUGUGGAGGAAUAUCAAUGGCGAAGGCAGCCCCCUGGGAUAAUAUUGACGCUCAUGCACGAAAGCGUGGGGAGCAAACAGGAUUAGAUACCCUGGUAGUCCACGCCCUAAACGAUGUCAACUAGUUGUUGGUAGAGUAAAAUCUAUGAGUAACGCAGCUAACGCGUGAAGUUGACCGCCUGGGGAGUACGAUCGCAAGAUUA